This is a non-coding RNA of Caenorhabditis elegans, 212 nucleotides long. The record is from Ensembl. Lineage: Eukaryota; Metazoa; Nematoda; Chromadorea; Rhabditida; Rhabditidae.
UAUAUUUAAUUUAACUCAAAAAUCUAAAAAGCCACCGUAUCAGCUCUACUCACUUUUGAAGGAUUUUCUCCUCGACCGACACAAUUUUGAUAUCGUCAGAAGCGUCAACGGCGCCCAGUUUGACAAGUUUAACAGUAAUUAGUGCACAGAUAACUGUAGGCGGCCCGAAAUAGGCGGCGCAGAGUGGACCAAAAAUGGUUGGAAAAAGUAGU